GACGAACGCUGGCGGCGUGCUUAACACAUGCAAGUCGAGCGGUAAGGCCCUUCGGGGUACACGAGCGGCGAACGGGUGAGUAACACGUGGGUGACCUGCCCUCCACUUCGGGAUAAGCCUGGGAAACUGGGUCUAAUACCGGAUAGGACCAUGGGGAUGCAUGUUCUGUGGUGGAAAGUUUUUUCGGUGGGGGAUGGGCCCGCGGUCUAUCAGCUUGUUGGUGGGGGUGAUGGCCUACCAAGGCGACGACGGAUAGCCGGCCUGAGAGGGUGAUCGG
This 277-nucleotide ribosomal RNA is filed under the name uncultured bacterium. RNAcentral describes it as "partial 16S ribosomal RNA". It matches the Rfam family "Bacterial small subunit ribosomal RNA", at positions 28 to 307 of the family's 1533-position model. The record is from RNAcentral.